AUUCAAAGUGGCUUUUCAAGAUACAGAGUUGGAAAAGGCUGUGAAGCAGAAGAGUUCAUGCCAAGCAGUAGAAUCAGUUUGAAUAGCUCUAAGUUAAAGGCCAUAAAUGGGGGGACAGUCAGAAAAAGCAGAGCACACUUCUUGGAGCAUGGAAGGGAUCUUAGCAUGGUAAUUAACACACAUAUCAACUGGAAACUUUGAAUAACACAGUGAGAUAACCUUCUCAAAGACUGAUGAAAGAGUUAAAGGCCUUAGGAGGAGGCAUUUUCUAGCGAAUUAAGAUGCUUUAAUCUCCAUAACUACAUUCAGAGGAAACACUUUGGUGAACACUGGAAUUUAAGAUUAAUUCCUUUGUAUGACUUGGGACACAUCCUUGUCCAUGUGAUUUUUAGUUUAUUACAGUGUCAAAAAGCAGCUGUGAGAGGGGCCUGGCAGUUGACAUACAUGGCCCCAAGGGCUGGAGCACUUCUAUGGGAGAAGGAAUAUGCCAAAGGCAUCACUGUGGUCACCAGCUGCUUUAACAGCUGCUAUAAAUCUCAGCCUGCCCCAUGGGCAGAGGAUGUGUACAUUCACUUCACCCUCUUUUCUCAAGCUGUGUUAGGAAUGACAGCUUCAACAAAACCUGCUGUUAAAGACCAGAGUUUUUGCUUUAGAGUUGUUCUCAGUUCUAAACACAGUUCUUUGUCAUUAGGCUGUGUGAGCUGUAGGCUACUGCUUGUAGAAUUCCAGACCAAUUCUCCAGGGAGCAUCACCAAUCUCACAAAAAAGUUGUCUCCCAGAGGAAAUAGUGCUGAGCAGAUGUAUAGCCAGAUUCUCAAGGUAUUUUGCAUGGUGUGCCUGGGAACCUGCCACAAAACAAGCCAGGUUUAUUUUUAGAUACCCUUAACUUUAUUUAUUGAUUUAGGAGGAUAUGAGGAAUGGGCAUAAGCAAAGAGAGUUUUGUGAAAAUGGUAUCUUUUAUUAGAUUAGCUGAUACAGCUUAAAAAAACAAGUAUGCUUUUGGGUACAAGCUGCUUUCUUCAGCAAAAUCUAAUUCAAUACAGGCAAUUUCAGUUUAAUCUUAUUACAUUGAUAACCAUGCUGUUAUAAUAUAAGUGUGGAAAUGAGUAAGAAGAGGGGCAUUUUGAAAUUUUUUUAAUUUAUUUUGAAAUUUUGAACUUCC
This 1162-nucleotide long non-coding RNA is filed under the name Cyanistes caeruleus (blue tit). RNAcentral describes it as "lncRNA (ENSCCEG00000007651.1)". The record is from RNAcentral. Lineage: Eukaryota; Metazoa; Chordata; Aves; Passeriformes; Paridae.